UGGCUCUCGCAUCGAUGAAGAACGCAGCGAAAUGCGAUACGUAAUGUGAAUUGCAGAAUUCAGUGAAUCAUCGAAUCUUUGAACGCACAUUGCGCUCUCUGGUAUUCCGGAGAGCAUGCUUGUUUGAGUAUCAGUAAAACACCCUCAGUUCCUAUAUCUCUUUCUCUCUUGUAGAGGUGAGACUAGGAAUUGGACUUGAGCGAACCCAACGGCGAUAGAGAGAUUAAAUCCAAUCUAUUGUUGGCGGGUUGCUUGAAAUGCAGGUGCGGCAGGAACAUCUUCUGAGCUAUAAGCAUUACUUAUUUAGUCCCGUCAGACGGACUAUUACUAUUGCUGCAGCUAAUAUAUUAAAGGUUGAUAGUUCCAUUUGCUCCGACUGAUGCAGGAAUUGUCAAAGGUGGAUUCCUUUUUCUUUUUAGAGAAUGGAGAUCCCUUUUGUUCAACUCGAUCUCAAAUCAAGUAAGACUACCCGCUGA
This 476-nucleotide unclassified non-coding RNA is filed under the name uncultured fungus. RNAcentral's name for it is "partial contains 5.8S ribosomal RNA and internal transcribed spacer 2". The stretch from base 1 to 133 matches the Rfam family "5.8S ribosomal RNA", at positions 22 to 154 of the family's 154-position model. Lineage: Eukaryota; Fungi. The record is from RNAcentral.